This 160-nucleotide ribosomal RNA is filed under the name uncultured Lactobacillus sp. RNAcentral's name for it is "partial 16S ribosomal RNA". It matches the Rfam family "Bacterial small subunit ribosomal RNA", at positions 355 to 507 of the family's 1533-position model. The record is from RNAcentral. Lineage: Bacteria; Bacillati; Bacillota; Bacilli; Lactobacillales; Lactobacillaceae.
UAGGGAAUCUUCCACAAUGGACGAAAGUCUGAUGGAGCAACGCCGCGUGAGUGAAGAAGGGUUUCGGCUCGUAAAGCUCUGUUGGUAGUGAAGAAAGAUAGAGGUAGUAACUGGCCUUUAUUUGACGGUAAUUACUUAGAAAGUCACGGCUAACUACGUG